This 123-nucleotide non-coding RNA is filed under the name Chloebia gouldiae (Gouldian finch). Lineage: Eukaryota; Metazoa; Chordata; Aves; Passeriformes; Passeridae. The record is from RNAcentral.
GUGUUGUAUGAAAGGAGAGAUCAGCACUCCCCUUGAUAAGGAUGGAAGAGGCCCUUGUGGUCUGUACAAAACACAUACAGUUAAGGCACUGCCACCUACUUUGUGGCAUCGAACCAUGUUUAA